This 494-nucleotide ribosomal RNA is filed under the name uncultured Promicromonospora sp. RNAcentral's name for it is "bacterial SSU rRNA". It matches the Rfam family "Bacterial small subunit ribosomal RNA", at positions 1 to 507 of the family's 1533-position model. Lineage: Bacteria; Bacillati; Actinomycetota; Actinomycetes; Micrococcales; Promicromonosporaceae. The record is from RNAcentral.
GUACGUUUGACUCCGUGGCUACGAGGACGAACGCUGGUGGCGUGCGUUAACACAUGCAAGUCGAACGGUGAAGCCCAGCUUGCUGGGUGGAUCAGUGGCGAACGGGUGAGUAACACGUGAGCAACCUGCCCUCCACUUCGGGAUAAGCCUUGGAAACGAGGUCUAAUACCGGAUACGAGCACUUACCGCAUGGUGGGUGUUGGAAAGGUUUUUCGGUGGGGGGAUGGGCUCGCGGCCUAUCAGCUUGUUGGUGGGGUAAUGGCCUACCAAGGCGUCGACGGGUAGCCGGCCUGAGAGGGCGACCGGCCACACUGGGACUGAGACACGGCCCAGACUCCUACGGAGGCAGCAGUGGGGAAUAUUGCACUAAUGGGCGAAAGGCCUGAUGCAGCGACGCCACGUGAGGGAUGACGGCCUUCGGGUUGUAAACCUCUUUCAGCAGGGAAGAAGCGCAAGUGACGGUACCUGCAGAAGAAGCGCCGGCUAACUACGUG